GCCAGGCUGGAGAACCAUUACCUGUGAACUCUCUAUUGAGGGUCCCUUGGGGCUGGGGUUGGAGGCUGUUCUAGGGCUCAAGAAGUGCAUUGGGGUGGUGACAAGUCCAGAGAGUCUGGCCUUCCAGGUCUCUACAGCUUCUCAGCAUACUCAGAUGGCACAGUCACAGCUCCGUAUGAUACAAAACAUGAUCGAUCGCUGGGCAGCAGAACAAACCCUUCCCAUGUGUGGUCCUCCUUCACAUUUGCUGGCAUCAUAGAUGGGUCUGAUAAUCCUGUAUUUGCCUCACACUUGAGAGGAGCAAGCAUGGUCUGUAAGCCAGAUGUGCACUGGAAGCUAAUGGCCUCUCUUCACAAUGAGACAUUCGUUGCUAAGGAAGGGCAGCCAGGUGGAGAGCUGAAAGCUGCACCUGGGCCGAUAGCUGGGUAGCAUUGCUGAGCCACUAGUGUUUAAAGGUACCUUCUCAAUGGCCCAGAGACACAGCUGCCUACGACGCCACCCCUGGUCGUCCUUUCCUGAUAGCAAUUACCCUUUUUGCACCUAAAGUAGACCCAGGAGUUCUUCUGAGAGCCGCCACUGGCAGGAAGUGACCGAGCUGUGAGCCACCAGCUUCACUGUGUGACGCGCUUUGUGACAAGCUGCCAGGGCCAGGAGCUGUAGCAGCUGCGCUUGAACUUGUGGCUGGCUGCAGUCCCUUGGAAAGGGAAGGGGCACAUCUGGAAGGCGGGUCUGAGUGCCCCAUGAAGCUCAGGCUGGCUUACCAACCCAAGCAAAGCCUGUAGCAAUUUCAAAACCUCAGGAUCCUUCCAAUUGCCUCAGUGAGCCUUGGAGAAGCCACAGACCUGAUACACAAGGCUGAACACGGGGACAGCAGCACUUCCUACUGGCCUCUCAUAGGCAGCUGGGGAAACCCCUUCUUCAUGCAGCAAGUCGGGAAGAUAUGGAUAUCCAACGAGGGGUCUGAAGGUAAUGUUGGUCCUGAGCUGAUCUCUGUACUUGAGCCUAGAGAAAUGUGGAAGCCAGCCUCUGGUUCUGCCCCAGAGAAGCUCUCACAUCUGUCCCUCACAGUCUGUGUCUGUGGCAGGUUACUUCCUCUUUGAACCUCAGUUUCCUUAUCUGUCAGAUGGAGCAAACAUGGGGACCUGCCAUGGGAGAACCCCAGCUCAUGCAGGUAGAAAUGUCAGCUCUAAGAUCCUGGGCCCCAUGCUACCCUCCCUGAGAUGCUGCUAUGUGAAUGUGGAGGGAAAGAAACAGAAGUUACUGCAUCUUACUCCAUCCUAAGAAAGGCUACAGUGGGCAGCCCUGAUUCCCUCCUGCUGUCCAGAACCUGAGAGCCCAGUAAAUUGGAGCCUAGGCCACUGUGGCCUUUGAAAGACAGACAGAAGACUUCCAGACACGCAGCAAAGAUAAGAAAGCUGCAAGGAUGCCAGAGGCCUCCCAACAUCCAAUCCAGACAGAGCCUUGUCUGAGGUAGAGGUUUCCAAUGAGUGAGCCCCAGGAAAUCUUAAGUCUUGGGGAUAUGGCAUACUAGCAGAGGGGCAACAAUCAGCUCCAGGGAGUAAAGAAAUUAAAAGCAGCCCUUGUUGUAGCUUGUGCCAAUUUGUAUGGUAUAAUCACUCCUGCCUUGGCUAAUGUCAUCACUGAAGGCAAAUUCAGGACCAGCAAAGCAUAGUCAACUGUCCUGAGCAGCAACAUCUCACACUCAAAGCAUAUGAGAACAGAUGGCUCUUCCCAUAAGAUUCUUGCUACCUGCCCAGAGGACCAAGAACAAACAGUGGCAUGUCUCGGCUGGAAGACAGAGGAGCAGAAGGGUUGUUGAGUGUUACAGGUUGGCUAGGAAAAGUCCCACACCGGCUUGUGUGUUUGAACACUUGCUCUCCAGCUCAUGGUGCUCUCUGGGAAGUUUCUGGAACCUUUUAAAGGUGAGGCUGUGGUGAUUUAAAGAAUAGUCCCCUUGGGCUCCUAUUUUGAAUACUUGGUAGAACUGUUUGGGGAGGAUUGGGAGGUGUGGCCUUGUUGGAGAAGAUGUAUCACUGGGGGUGGACUUUGAGGUUCUAAAAGACUCCCAGUGUUCUUCCUCUACCUCGUGGUUGUGGAUCAAAAUGUGAGCUGAUCUUCCCUCCUCCAUCACUCAUUGUAGUCCUCUGAAACCAUAAGCCAAAAUAAAUGUUUUCUUCUAGAA
Molecule: long non-coding RNA, 2182 nt
Organism: Mus musculus (house mouse)
Lineage: Eukaryota; Metazoa; Chordata; Mammalia; Rodentia; Muridae
Product: predicted gene, 36496
Exons: 3
Source: RefSeq, a predicted model, not a curated record